Molecule: ribosomal RNA, 403 nt
Filed under: bacterium
Lineage: Bacteria
Also listed under: 1 other name
Description: partial 16S ribosomal RNA
Rfam family: Bacterial small subunit ribosomal RNA
Source: RNAcentral
UGGGGAAUAUUGCACAAUGGGGGAAACCCUGAUGCAGCGACGCCGCGUGAACGAAGAAGGUAUUCGUAUUGUAAAGUUCUGUCCUAUGGGAAGAUAAUGACAGUACCAUAGAAGAAAGCUCCGGCUAAAUACGUGCCAGCAGCCGCGGUAAUACGUAUGGAGCGAGCGUUGUCCGGAAUUAUUGGGCGUAAAGGGUACGCAGGCGGUUUAAUAAGUCGAAUGUUAAAGAUCGGGGCUCAACCCCGUAAAGCAUUGGAAACUGAUAAACUUGAGUAGUGGAGAGGAAAGUGGAAUUCCUAGUGUAGUGGUGAAAUACGUAGAUAUUAGGAGGAAUACCAGUAGCGAAGGCGACUUUCUGGACACAAACUGACGCUGAGGUACGAAAGCGUGGGGAGCAAACAGG